This 75-nucleotide transfer RNA is filed under the name Aureispira sp. RNAcentral's name for it is "tRNA-Phe". It matches the Rfam family "tRNA". From Rfam's summary of the family: Transfer RNA (tRNA) molecules are approximately 80 nucleotides in length. Their secondary structure includes four short double-helical elements and three loops (D, anti-codon, and T loops). RNAcentral also lists the same sequence under 1 other name. Lineage: Bacteria; Pseudomonadati; Bacteroidota; Saprospiria; Saprospirales; Saprospiraceae. The record is from RNAcentral.
GGUGUCAUAGCUCAGCUAGGUAAGAGCACUGGCUUGAAACCCCAGAGGUCCUUCGUUCAAAUCGAAGUGAUACCG